AGGACGAACGCUGGCGGCGUGCUUAACACAUGCAAGUCGAGCGGUGACGCUCCUUCGGGAGCUGAUCAGCGGCGAACGGGUGAGUAACACGUGGGCAACCUGCCCCGUAACACUGGGAUAACCUCGGGAAACCGGGGCUAAUACCGGAUAUGACUUCGAGCGGCAUCGCUUGAAGUGCAAAGCUCCGACGGUUAGGGAUGGGCCCGCGGCCUAUCAGCUUGUUGGUGGGGUAAUGGCCUACCAAGGCGACG
This 251-nucleotide ribosomal RNA is filed under the name uncultured bacterium. RNAcentral's name for it is "partial small subunit ribosomal RNA". It matches the Rfam family "Bacterial small subunit ribosomal RNA", at positions 26 to 278 of the family's 1533-position model. The record is from RNAcentral.